GCUGCGAGCGGCAAGGUCGCGCAAGAUCGCCUGGAUCUCGCCGAAGUCCGGCCGCUCGCUCACCCGUGGCAGCGCGCAACGUCGCUGCAACUCGACCAGCGCCGCACGUAGCGAGGCCUGCCCCGGCGGCGCCUCGCUGCGCUCGAGCAACUCUUCCAGCAGGCAGGCGAAGGCACGUACUUCCAGGCGCCGCAGGGCGCC
Molecule: small RNA, 201 nt
Filed under: Pseudomonas aeruginosa PAK
Lineage: Bacteria; Pseudomonadati; Pseudomonadota; Gammaproteobacteria; Pseudomonadales; Pseudomonadaceae
Description: potential small antisense RNA
Source: RNAcentral